Molecule: long non-coding RNA, 1683 nt
Organism: Oncorhynchus keta (chum salmon)
Lineage: Eukaryota; Metazoa; Chordata; Actinopteri; Salmoniformes; Salmonidae
Exons: 4
Source: RefSeq, a predicted model, not a curated record
GGUGAGACAGCAUUUAGGGCUCUACAUUCAGUGAAGGUGAGACAGCGUUUAGGGCUCUACAUUCAGUAAAGGUGAGACAGCGUUUAGGGCUCUACAUUCAGUAAAGGUGAGACAGAGUUUAGGGCUCUACAUUCAGUAAAGGUGAGACAGAGUUUAGGGCUCUACAUUCAGUAAAGGUGAGACAGCGUUUAGGGCUCUACAUUCAGUAAAGGUGAGACAGCGUUUAGGGCUCUACAUUCAGUAAAGGUGAGACAGAGUUUAGGGCUCUACAUUCAGUAAAGGUGAGACAGUGUUUAGGGCUCUACAUUCAGUAAAGGUGAGACAGAGUUUAGGGCUCUACAUUCAGUAAAGGUGAGACAGAGUUUAGGGCUCUACAUUCAGUAAAGGUGAGACAGCGUUUAGGGCUCUACAUUCAGUAAAGGUGAGACAGCAUUUAGGGCUCUACAUUCAGUAAAGGUGAGACAGCGUUUAGGGCUCUACAUUCAGUAAAGGUGAGACAGUGUUUAGGGCUCUACAUUCAGUAAAGGUGAGACAGCGUUUAGGGCUCUACAUUCAGUAAAGGUGAGACAGAGUUUAGGGCUCUACAUUCAGUAAAGGUGAGACAGUGUUUAGGGCUCUACAUUCAGUAAAGGUGAGACAGCGUUUAGGGCUCUACAUUCAGUAAAGGUGAGACAGCGUUUAGGGCUCUACAUUCAGUAAAGGUGAGAGGGGCUGUGAGAUAGUGUUUCUCUGGAGAGGAGAGGAGAGGAGAGGAGAGGAGAGGAGAGGAGAGGAGGAAAGAGGAUGAGGGUAGAGGAGAGUGGGUCAUCCUAAUCGACUAAUUGUUUAGUAGGCUUGAGGGCCAGAUUCCACGAUCGAUUACUCAUGCCUGACCAUAUCAAUCAAACUGCACGUCACACACACACACACACACACACACACACACACACACACACACACACACACACACACACACACACACACACACACACACACACACACACACACACACACACACACACACACACACACACACACACACACACACACGCACACGCACACACGCACACACACACACAAAUGAAAGCGCUGCAGUGAAAGAGGAAGGCCUGGGAUUGAGGACAGCAUUAAAACCUCAUUAGUGUCUGUGGCUGAAUUACCAACGCGCAGCAUCACAGCCUUUCAACAGCAGGUCUUCCCUCAUUUCUUAGAGAAACACAUUGGGCGUAUCCAAAAUAGCACCCGGACACAGUGCCCUAUGUAGGGAAAAGGUUGCGAAUUGUGUACGCAGUCAUUCUUCCACUUGAGUUGCAUAUGCUCCUGUUACAGUACAUUCUAGCACAGUAUCCGUGGCUAGAUGACACAUGGCACCCUAUUCCCUAAAUAGUGCCUUUCGGUCACUAUCUGGCUAUAAGGGAAGUAUCUAAAGGAGAUGAGUGACUGAGAGUACUGCACUGCGUAAGGAGUGUCCCACUACCAAAGGCAGAAACCCUCUCCGUCAUCGAGAUCUCCACAACGUCAAGAGACUAUUGACAAACCAUCAACACGGGGAGAAACAGUCAAGGAACUUAUAUCAUCGGAAUUGUAACGUGAGCCAGGGAAUUCCCAGAAUUCCUGAAGCAGCAGCGUGACAGGUCAAAAGGUCGGACCCUUCUGUAACUCUAAGGAUUGUGGGAUUUGUAGUUUCUCCGUUCUCUAGUGACU